CUUCUUUUACAAAAGUAUCACCAUCUCAUUGUUCCCCAUUGUUUGGUCCGAAAAGAUAACAGUAGAAGCAAAAUGCAACAUUUUUACUUAUACUAUAUUCUAACCAAUCAGGACAUUCAUUGAACCAAGCAGGAAUGAAUCACCUUGAUUUUUUACAUGGAAACACAUGACUCCGAGGUUGACACGAACCUCUCUGCAAGUAUACUCUUCUUAUUUGAUCUCGCAGAUUAACAUUAUAAUCCAAUAUUGGAGUUCUUAAUCCAGGAUCUGUGGGAAGUUGUGUAACAUCAGUAUGCUCAAUACUUGCUUUCUUUACCUCAUCAUUUUCUUGAUAAUUAGUGUCAUCAAUACUUGCUUCCUUUGCUUCACCGUUUUCUCCAACAGUAGCAUCCUUACCACUGGCUUCCUUUGCCUCGACAUUUUCUUCAAUAGAAAUUUCCUCAAUGCGUUGUUUCUUUGCCUCAACAUUUUCCUCGGUAGAUAUUUGAGAUACCCUUUUAAAAUAUCUCAACAUAUCUUCCUAUCUUACAAGCCAAACAAAGCUUGCAUAAAUAUACCAACAGUGAAAUGAAAGUUAAGAGAUGAACUCCGAAUCUAAAAUUGAUGAACUAAAAUGACCUUGAUCUCAAUGUUUCUCGAGUAUUAUAAAUGAAAUACAAAUACUCAAAUUGAUACUUGGAUAUCAAAUAUAAACAACUAAAACCCAAGAGGCCUAUAUCCUAAUGUAAUUUUUUUUUUACAGGUUCCGAUAAAAUUACAUAAAAUGGGUAACAAUCAACAUUUGAGAAUCCAAGUCCAACAACUGAGCCACUACAAUCCAAAUUCAACACAUUUUCAAUUUCGCCCCUGAUCCAAAUUCCAAGACAGGAAACUCAGGAAGUAAUUAAGUAAAUAUAAGUUAUCUAACAAUUUACAAUUCAAGACAUUUUCAAUUCAUAUUGCUAAAAUAUCAAUUCAUUUCAUUCACCGUCACUGAUUCACGGCUGCUAGCUUCAUAUAUCUUUUUAAUCCGACCACAAUAUCUAAACUUGCUAUUUGCAUAAAUAACUAUCAAAAACAUAAAUAAUAAGAUUAAGACCGAGAAAUUGAUUACCAAGUUUUGUUUCUUCAAUCUAUUCGCUCCGUCAGUCCUCCGUCACACUGGCACACUCUCACUACCUCUCACUGGUUUUGGUCCAUAGGGUUUGGGAAUUAUGGACCUUAUUUUCAAUGUUAAAAACUUAUAGAUUGUUGGGCUUGGGUUAAAAAUCAUUGACUUCUAUUAAUCUAUUAUAUAGGCCUUUUUGAAUGUCAAAAAAAUUUAGGGUCCAGUGGGGGUAAUAGGUCCGCCCCUGAUGAUAUAUAAUUAGCAAAAGCACGAUGCAAUUGAUAUUAAAUUUUGCCAACAGUAUGUUUACUUAGUUUCUCACAACUUAUGUCUAUUGCAUGUUCAUGGUUGCAAUACAUGUGGCGAUGGAUUUCGUACGGCCAAGGAAACUCCUUACAAGAUAAAGGUCAAUCCAGUGGUGCCAGUAGCAAACGUGAAUCAAGAUGCAAUUGUUUGGGGACAUCUAAUCCUAAGCACACAAUUGAUGAAAGGAGAUACAAAAGAAGAGGACGUGGAGAUAUUCCUCAAAAUAACCAUCUGAAAGGAAAAAGGAGAUAAGAAAGAGAAUGGAAAACGAAAGGGAAGGGAUUCGUGAAUAUAUUUACUUAUGUAAUUGAUUAAAAGUCACGGGGGUUUAAUUUCAUGUUUAUUUACUAGGAACAAUCUCCAUUGAAUGUCUGCAUUAGUUUGGUUGCACCUAAGAAAGUUACCUUCGAGAAUAACCCAAGCUUUGUGAUUGGAGAUCUCACGAAAAAUAUUAGAUGUGGUAGAAACAAUUCGUACUGUGUGACUUGUGAUAGCACUAUUUCAUUUGUACUCAUUUCUAUAGUGAUAUAGUGCUAAUAAAUAUGUUAAGUAG
RNAcentral lists this long non-coding RNA (1946 nucleotides) under Olea europaea subsp. europaea. Lineage: Eukaryota; Viridiplantae; Streptophyta; Magnoliopsida; Lamiales; Oleaceae. The record is from RNAcentral.